AACGCGAAGAACCUUACCCAGGCUAGAAGUGUAGAGUAACGCAACAGAGAUGUUGAAGUCCGAAAGGAACUCUAUAUAGGUGCUGCAUGGCUGUCGUCAGCUCGUGCCGUGAGGUGUUGGGUUAAGUCCCGCAACGAGCGCAACCCUUAUUGUCAGUUGCCAACGCGUAAAGGCGGGGACUCUGGCAAGACUGCCUAGGUUAACUAGGAGGAAGGUGAGGAUGACGUCAAGUCCGCAUGGCCUUUAUGUCUGGGGCUACACACGUGCUACAAUGGUCGGUACAGAAGGCAGCGAAGCCGCGAGGUGGAGCUAAUCCGAAAAAACCGAUCUCAGUUCGGAUUGCAGUCUGCAACUCGGCUGCAUGAAGUUGGAAUUGCUAGUAAUGGCGUGUCAGCAACAGCGCCGUGAAUACGUUCCCGGGCCUUGUACACACCGCGAGC
RNAcentral lists this ribosomal RNA (440 nucleotides) under uncultured bacterium. RNAcentral describes it as "bacterial SSU rRNA". It matches the Rfam family "Bacterial small subunit ribosomal RNA", at positions 958 to 1397 of the family's 1533-position model. The record is from RNAcentral.